AUUAUUUUUUUUUUCUUCUGCCGUCUGAGAUGCUUUUUUGUCUUACAACAUAUCGAAUGGAUUUUUUGGCCAAUGAUGUUGUACAGUAAUGGAGGUUUCAAAACUCACCCUGAGUGACCGAACACUUAUUCUUAUAAGAGUUAUCUCCCCGCGUCCCCUUUUUCUUGUUAUCGCUAUAUCUCUAAAACCGUAAAAGAUUUUAGCAAACUGUUUUCACCAAAUUGUUUGUCUACUCUUGAGAAUGAUUUGG
Molecule: long non-coding RNA, 250 nt
Filed under: Mytilus galloprovincialis (Mediterranean mussel)
Lineage: Eukaryota; Metazoa; Mollusca; Bivalvia; Mytilida; Mytilidae
Source: RNAcentral